Molecule: ribosomal RNA, 2907 nt
Filed under: Providencia rettgeri
Lineage: Bacteria; Pseudomonadati; Pseudomonadota; Gammaproteobacteria; Enterobacterales; Morganellaceae
Description: 23S ribosomal RNA
Rfam family: Bacterial large subunit ribosomal RNA
Source: RNAcentral
GGUUAAGCGACUAAGCGUACACGGUGGAUGCCUAGGCAAUCAGAGGCGAUGAAGGACGUGCUAAUCUGCGAUAAGCGUCGGUAAGGUGAUAUGAACCGUGAUAACCGACGAUUUCCGAAUGGGGAAACCCAGUGCAAUCCGUUGCACUAUCGUUUGAUGAAUACAUAGUCAAACGAAGCGAACCGGGGGAACUGAAACAUCUCAGUACCCCGAGGAAAAGAAAUCAACCGAGAUUCCCCUAGUAGCGGCGAGCGAACGGGGAGCAGCCCAGAGUCUUAAUCAACAUUAGCAUCAGGAGAACGGUCUGGAAAGGCCGGCAGUAAAGGGUGAUAGCCCCGUAUCCGAAGGUGUUAGUGUUGUGAACUCGACGAGUAGGGCGGGACACGUGUUAUCCUGUCUGAAUAUGGGGGGACCAUCCUCCAAGGCUAAAUACUCCUGAUUGACCGAUAGUGAACCAGUACCGUGAGGGAAAGGCGAAAAGAACCCCGGCGAGGGGAGUGAAAUAGAACCUGAAACCGUGUACGUACAAGCAGUGGGAGCACCUUUAGGGGUGUGACUGCGUACCUUUUGUAUAAUGGGUCAGCGACUUAUAUUCUGUAGCAAGGUUAACCGUAUAGGGGAGCCGUAGGGAAACCGAGUCUUAACUGGGCGAAUGAGUUGCAGGGUAUAGACCCGAAACCCGGUGAUCUAGCCAUGGGCAGGUUGAAGGUUGGGUAACACUAACUGGAGGACCGAACCGACUAAUGUUGAAAAAUUAGCGGAUGACUUGUGGCUGGGGGUGAAAGGCCAAUCAAACCGGGAGAUAGCUGGUUCUCCCCGAAAGCUAUUUAGGUAGCGCCUCGUGAACUCAUCUUCGGGGGUAGAGCACUGUUUCGACUAGGGGGUCAUCCCGACUUACCAACUCGAUGCAAACUACGAAUACCGAAGAAUGUUAUCACGGGAGACACACGGCGGGUGCUAACGUUCGUCGUGAAGAGGGAAACAACCCAGACCGCCAGCUAAGGUCCCAAAGUCAUAGUUAAGUGGGAAACGAAGUGGGAAGGCUCAGACAGCCAGGAUGUUGGCUUAGAAGCAGCCAUCAUUUAAAGAAAGCGUAAUAGCUCACUGGUCGAGUCGGCCUGCGCGGAAGAUGUAACGGGGCUAAACUAUGCACCGAAGCUGCGGCAGCGAUAUGUAAAUAUUGUUGGGUAGGGGAGCGUUCUGUAAGCCUGUGAAGGUGUACUGUGAGGUAUGCUGGAGGUAUCAGAAGUGCGAAUGCUGACAUAAGUAACGAUAAUGCGGGUGAAAAACCCGCACGCCGGAAGACCAAGGGUUCCUGUCCAACGUUAAUCGGGGCAGGGUGAGUCGACCCCUAAGGCGAGGCAGAAAUGCGUAGUCGAUGGGAAACGGGUUAAUAUUCCCGUACUGGUGAUAAUUGCGAUGGGGGGACGGAGAAGGCUAGGCUAUCCGGGCGACGGUUGUCCCGGUUUAAGGAUGUAGGCAGGUGAAUUAGGCAAAUCCGGUUCACUACAUGCUGAGGUCCGAUGACGAGUCACUACGGUGAUGAAGUAGCUCAUGCCCCGCUUCCAGGAAAAGCCUCUAAGCUCUAGAUUAUCAUUAAUCGUACCCCAAACCGACACAGGUGGUCAGGUAGAGAAUACUCAGGCGCUUGAGAGAACUCGGGUGAAGGAACUAGGCAAAAUGGUGCCGUAACUUCGGGAGAAGGCACGCUGGCGCUAGGUGAAGUCCCUCGCGGAUGGAGCUGAAGCCAGUCGCAGAUACCAGCUGGCUGCAACUGUUUAUUAAAAACACAGCACUGUGCAAACACGAAAGUGGACGUAUACGGUGUGACGCCUGCCCGGUGCUGGAAGGUUAAUUGAUGGGGUUAUCCGUAAGGAGAAGCUCUUGAUCGAAGCCCCAGUAAACGGCGGCCGUAACUAUAACGGUCCUAAGGUAGCGAAAUUCCUUGUCGGGUAAGUUCCGACCUGCACGAAUGGCGUAAUGAUGGCCAGGCUGUCUCCACCCGAGACUCAGUGAAAUUGAACUCGCUGUGAAGAUGCAGUGUACCCGCGGCAAGACGGAAAGACCCCGUGAACCUUUACUAUAGCUUGACACUGAACAUUGAGCCUUGAUGUGUAGGAUAGGUGGGAGGCUUUGAAGCGUGGACGCCAGUCUGCGUGGAGCCAACCUUGAAAUACCACCCUUUAAUGUUUGAUGUUCUAACGUAGCCCCGUUAUCCGGGGUGCGGACAGUGUCUGGUGGGUAGUUUGACUGGGGCGGUCUCCUCCCAAAGAGUAACGGAGGAGCACGAAGGUUGGCUAAGCAUGGUCGGACAUCAUGCGGUUAGUGCAAAGGCAUAAGCCAGCUUGACUGCGAGAGUGACGGCUCGAGCAGGUACGAAAGUAGGUCUUAGUGAUCCGGUGGUUCUGAAUGGAAGGGCCAUCGCUCAACGGAUAAAAGGUACUCCGGGGAUAACAGGCUGAUACCGCCCAAGAGUUCAUAUCGACGGCGGUGUUUGGCACCUCGAUGUCGGCUCAUCACAUCCUGGGGCUGAAGUAGGUCCCAAGGGUACGGCUGUUCGCCGUUUAAAGUGGUACGCGAGCUGGGUUUAGAACGUCGUGAGACAGUUCGGUCCCUAUCUGCCGUGGGCGUUGGAAGAUUGAAAGGGGCUGCUCCUAGUACGAGAGGACCGGAGUGGACGCACCACUGGUGUUCGGGUUGUCAUGCCAAUGGCAUUGCCCGGUAGCUAAGUGCGGAAGAGAUAACCGCUGAAAGCAUCUAAGCGGGAAACUUGCCUUGAGAUGAGUCUUCCCUGACUCUUUAAGGGUCCUAAAGGAACGUUUAAGACUAAGACGUUGAUAGGUUGGGUGUGUAAGCGUAGCGAUAUGUUGAGCUAACCAAUACUAAUGAACCGUGAGGCUUAACCUG